UACACUCCUACGGGAGGCAGCAGUGGGGAAUAUUGGACAAUGGGCGCAAGCCUGAUCCAGCCAUGCCGCGUGAGUGAUGAAGGCCCUAGGGUUGUAAAGCUCUUUCACCGGUGAAGAUAAUGACGGUAACCGGAGAAGAAGCCCCGGCUAACUUCGUGCCAGCAGCCGCGGUAAUACGAAGGGGGCUAGCGUUGUUCGGAUUUACUGGGCGUAAAGCGCACGUAGGCGGACUAUUAAGUCAGGGGUGAAAUCCCGGGGCUCAACCCCGGAACUGCCUUUGAUACUGGUAGUCUUGAGUUCGAGAGAGGUGAGUGGAAUUCCGAGUGUAGAGGUGAAAUUCGUAGAUAUUCGGAGGAACACCAGUGGCGAAGGCGGCUCACUGGCUCGAUACUGACGCUGAGGUGCGAAAGCGUGGGGAGCAAACAGGAUUAGAAACCCCUGUAGUCCCA
This 449-nucleotide ribosomal RNA is filed under the name uncultured organism. RNAcentral describes it as "partial 16S ribosomal RNA". It matches the Rfam family "Bacterial small subunit ribosomal RNA", at positions 332 to 797 of the family's 1533-position model. The record is from RNAcentral.